ACAUUCAAAGUAAAAGGAAACUGGUAAAGUUAAUUUUAGUAAUAUAUUUCAUGUCGCCCAAUAGAUUCAAAUAUUAUCAUCUCAACAUGUAAUCAAUAUUAGAUCUGUAGGUAUUGUACACUGCUAUGUUACUAUUGAGAGAUUUUUACUGUCUACUGCCUCCCAGAAGUAUUUACAAUCUGGUUUCUAUUUUUCACUUUCAGUUCUUCUCAUCUGGGACUUAGCUGUGUUUCAAGGGCUCAUUGAACAAGCGUAGCUCGUGGCUAACAUAUUGCAAAGCACAGCCUACUGUGUCCUGGUUUUAUACAUUUUGUUCUAACACAGUCACAACAUUUUCUUCUGAAAGGCAGUACUUGCUGAACCUGUGGACAUCCUGAGAAAUGCAGCGUGCUGUCUCAACUCUGCAGCAUGAUCAACAGCACUGCUCAUUCGCCAGCAUGUGGCCCAGGUCAGGCUCAGCUCCUGAUCAGCCUCCUACAAAGAGGUGCCCAGUUCUGAAAGGCACACCUCACCCAUGGAGUAAUGAUAUCCCCAGCUCCUCACUUGCUUUUGUUAUGACCAAGCUGGAAUGACUCUUCAGGACUUUAAUCAUCCUUUAGCUGAAGAGAGCUGCACUCGGCAGGAAAAUGUGAUCCAUCCAUGUGGAGACAAAGUGACAUGAAGGCAUGCUGUGAUCCCACCGCACUUUCAGCAGAGAAAGAGCUCUGUCACACCAGGACACAUGCAGCAAGGACACAUCACUCUCCGAAGCCCCGCAGCACAGGUCACAGUGCCCUUAGCUCAGUAUUUUCAUUGAAAGACCACUUUUCCUCAAAUUGUGUUAAGAUGAAUGCUUUGGAUUUUUGAUUUGGGGUUUUAAUCUAUUUUCUUUUUUAUUUAGUAGUUGCAGGGGAUCCAUACAAAGGGGAUAUGUGUUAUUUAAAAUCUGCAAACAUUUAAAUAUUAAAAUAAUUUAAAUCAA
Cavia porcellus (domestic guinea pig) is the source of this 961-nucleotide long non-coding RNA. RefSeq lists it as uncharacterized. NCBI's taxonomy places the organism in Eukaryota, Metazoa, Chordata, Mammalia, Rodentia, Caviidae. The transcript has 2 exons. The record is from RefSeq and is a predicted model, not a curated record.